Heterocephalus glaber (naked mole-rat) is the source of this 5358-nucleotide non-coding RNA. Lineage: Eukaryota; Metazoa; Chordata; Mammalia; Rodentia; Bathyergidae. The record is from RefSeq and is a predicted model, not a curated record.
UUAAUACAUCUCUCCCUAAUUACUCUCACAUUUAAAAUAAAUUUCGUUGAUGAAUAACUUGACUCCAGCAAGUCCAUAAUGCAUCAUUUGAUGCAUAUUGAAUUAAUGUUUUCAUUAUCUAGCAGAAGUCUAAUUGUGGUUACUUUCCCAGGAGUUGGGCAGGAUAUAAUCUGUGCAAUAAUUGCUGAAUACUCACCCCCAAAUAAAUAACUCACAUCAGAUGAAGUUGGUCAGUAAAUCACAAUUUCAGCCAUUAUUGAGCAGCCCUACUAUGCAAGCCCUGGCAAAGAAUUACAAACAGGAAAAUCGUAGAGCUAGAAGAGAGACCUCUAGCGUGUGUUAGAGAACUUUAUAUUGUGCUUCGGGCAUAAUUAAUACAGCAAAAUCACUGCAGUCACCCUGCAUACUGUGGUGGGAGAUCUUCAUAACUAGCAUUCACAUGCCAUUCAUUGAAACACUUCUUCCCAGCAAACGUAUGGCAUUUUUGCCUUGUUAGGUACUGUCUUCCUAUAAACAAAAGCCUAACUCAAUGAAGUUUUCUUGUGAUGCAAAGUUUUAAAGUUCCGUGGUCACCUCUGCAACCUGAUUAGUAGACAUUUAACUUACAGUCCUCACUGACAAUCGCUAAUCAUUCUUUCCAUGCAGGCAGCAGCGGGAUUCCGGAGGAGUUUAAUGCUCAGAAUGCUCACAGUCAGAGUUCAGCCUCCUAAACACCAGCCCCUCCUCAUAAGCCAAAUGCCACCCAAAUAGAAACACGAGGAGGAAAUUGGCGUCUUGCCCAUUCUCCCGGAGACAAAUGGAUCCACUACUGUUUUAAAUUCACCAAGUAGGCUAGCUAUUAGUUUCCACAGUUUCCUAGAUAAUGCAGGUGAAUUCCUUGAUGUAGAAUCAGAUUUAAUGAAUCAUUCUAUGGCACCAGCCUCAGCCAUUAAAAAUCCUUUAUUUUCUCCUUUUCCACAUUAAAAAUACAUUUGAGAUAGACUCAGAAAAUGUUUCUCUAAAACGCACACACUUGCACACAAAACAGGAGGUCUCUUAAGGAGUCUACUGCUGAGAAGGUAAAAGCAUUUUGCUCAUUUUUAAUUUGCUAAAACAAUCCAAGCAUGCUUGGUACCCAGAGGGUAUUCUCAAAUAAACUUGUAUCUGUAGCUGCCAGCUUAGUUGAUUGAAAACAGAAGGCAAACGUUUCUUAAAGAAUGAGUAUGUUAAACUGUUAUGUCUCUCCCAGUACCACAAGGACACACACACACACACACGCACACACGCACACACACACACGCCUGCAAGCACACAAAGAUUUGCUCGAAAGCAGAGAGGUCUACGAUCUAAAAGGCAGUGCAGCAUUUGUACCAAAUUACUUCUGCCUACUGCUGGGCACCGCUUAGCGAGGAGGCCAGGGCCAGGAGCACACUGGACAGUUCCUGCGUACUGGUCUCCACGUACAAAGCCGACGGCCCCGGUGCAACUUUGCUAACUUAGUUGGCUCCCGCCCAGCCGGCCCCCGGAGCACAGUCACGGUGAAAACGUUUUUAUGCCGGAAAAUCAUUUCCACGACAGUGUAAGUGUUCGAAAGCACAAAGGCAGACAUUCGACCCGCGGUAGCUGGCAGUUGCGUACGCGGGGCGGCCGCGCAGAGCUCGCGUCCAGGGCUCUCGCUUCGCUUUCUCAAGUUGACCUGACAUUGCUGUUACUCGAAGGUCGCACAACUUGUUGAUGAGGAUCACCACCCUGUCUGAUCAAAGCAUAGGUGAUAAUUUGGCAAUAAAGCAACACAUUUUUGGUUCCUUUGGCGACACAGCGUCCCAAAUGACGUGGAUAAAAAUAAGCACAUGCAGUCUGCUUUGCCCCAAUCAAGUCUGAAUCAGCGCCUGGGGGUGAUACACAAACUCAUUUCAAAUGUUCAACCAUGCAGAAUUGUAAAAAGAUUGAAGGAGUUACACCGCAUUUUUUCAAAUGGCAAAAUUAAAAGAAAACCAAGCCUAACAUUAGGUAGGUAGGGACCUACCAUUUAGGUUUAUUUGAUCAACAUUCUGAACAUACCUCUCCUCCUUCCUUCUCUUUGCUUCCUUCCACCUGGUAUCUUUCAUGAGAGGGGGUGGAGGGGUCUUAAGUCCAGUAUUUGCCGGAAGUGCUCCGCAGAGCCCAAGACUCUAACAUAAACACAUUUCCCCAGCUUGCUGCUCUAGUUAUGACCUCCCCUGCUCCUCAUCACUUCUUCCUUUCCAGGUCUUUGUUCAAAGAGCUUGUCCCUGAGCCACUUGUUAUCUUAAUUCUUUUUAGCUAGGGGGAGAGAUUUGGUUAUAAACUCAAGGGUCACCUCCCAUUAAUAUUAUAUCCUUGCAGGAUACUUUUUGAAAUAGUGUGUUUUUGAGCACUUCGCAGUUCAUUAAUUCAAAGACUUUGCUGACAUUUCUUUAAAAAAACCUCCAAAAAACCAGGUUGUAAGGCCAUGGAUACUAAAAAGAGGUGUGUGGGGGGAGGAAAACCCUGAAUAGCCCUGGCUUGCAAAUACCUGUAACUGGCAGCAUUUCCCAGGAAGUAUUUUUUUUAACCAUUAUGUUAUCUUUAAGGUAAGCAGCUGCUGCAAUAUUAGCAGAAAAGACAAGGGCAGGCUUUUAAAAAUAUAUAGCUUACCAGAUCAAUGCUAUAAUGAUUUGAGAGAUUAAUGUCAUAAGAAGAAUCAGUUGUGCUGUUAGUAGAUAUCUUUAAAUAUAACAAAUUCAUAGGACAGGAGUAUCUGGUUUGAGAACACCACUGCCCUAGAGGAAGAAAAACGUGCCUUUGUGGAACAACACAAAAGAAAGUCGCAUUAUUCUUUGUACAUUCUUGUAGUGAUAUUCUCUGAACUGCAAUAAAAAUUUUAAAAUGUGCACAAAAUGCUAAAAUCAACUGAGUAAAAACUUUGUUCUUGCUCCUAAAUGGCGCUGUUAGUAUUGGAGAAAUUUAGAAGAACAUGAACAUGGACUGUGGCAGAAACAUACCCAGUUAUUUUUUCUGACAAUCUAAUACAGGUUGAAUAUGUCUUACCUGAACUGCUUGGAAUCAGGGAAGUUCAGUUUUUUCUCCCAGAGUUUGGAAGAUUGCAUAUGUAUAAUGAGAUAUCUUGGAAAUGGGGCCCAAGUCUAAAUAUGAAAUUCAUUUAUGUCUCAUAUGUCACAUGGCCUGAAGGAAACUUUAUACAAUGUAUUUUAUGAUUUUAUGCAUGAAACAAAAUUUCAUAGUGUGGAGCUUUCUACUUGUGGCCUCAUGUUGACACCCAAAAAGUUUCAGAUUUUAGAACAUUUCCGAUGUUUGGAUUAGAGAUGUUCAACCUGUUCCAUAAAGCUAUGACCUAAAGUGACUUUUCAUUUUUCAAAAAGUGUGUCACCUGGAGAGCCGUGCAUGGUUGAACUAAAAUGUUAAAGUUGGAAAGCUCCUUUGCAGGUAUCUGGCCCUUCACCAUCACUUCACAUGCGACGAAAGGAGAGCAGGCUGCCCAAGAUGAAAAGCCCCACGUGGACAGGGGAGAGGCCACAAGAUGCAGGACUAGAAGAAAGCGCCUCAUAGGAAGCUGGCUGCCGUUGACCGUACCUCUAUUUGCAGUGUAACGUGUGCCAUGCACAGCCCAUCCGGCUCAGAGCCACUUAGCUUUGCUUCACUGUUUCACUGUCUGAACAAGGCCGCUCAUGAGAAACCCCAUAAUACAAUUGAGGCACCUCGGGGGCACCAUAUACAUUUAUUAAAGAAAAAUGUCAAGAAGAAAGCAUUUAACUUAGAGCUUGGAAAAUGGUCAAUAGUAGGUUUCCAAAGCCCUGGAGAGAGUACCUUAUGAUCUAAGAGCCCUGCUCAAAGGACAGAAAAAAAAAGGGCAGAGACAUGAUCAGACAUCUGUUUACCAAUGUUCCCGGCAGCAUUAUUCACAAUAGACAAAAGGCUAUAAUCCUAAUGGUUGGGACCAAAGACACCCAGGGUGGGUCUUCCCUCUUCAGUAAGUCCAUCAUCCACACCCAGAACUGUGUCAAACCAAUCAGUGAACUACUGCAAUAUCACACACCUAUGAUCCAGUCACUUCUAAAAGCACCACUUAUGAGCAUAUGAAGCAUUGGGAGGACAUCUACAUAUAAGCCACAGCACGUGACAACAGAAAGCUGCUAUGUGGCCAAGAAGGAUGUGGUCAAGAGAGAAAAAGAAAGGUGUCGAAGAGUGCCCCGAAGGUUUGCGCACCAAGUCGCUGGUGUCCUUAAUGAAAGCAGUUGCGGUGGAAGCUUCAAGUUCCCCCUGUCCAUAUCUCCUCUGAAGAAACUCUGUGCAGCUCUAUCUGUCUAAAAACGUGGGGCCAGGUUAGCAGAGAGGGGCGGCGGUCAGGGCACAUUCCCUCUCCCCUUGGCAGCGGCUGUGCUGUGUCGUGAGUACUCAAAGCCACAUGGCCUCAGUUUAUAGGCUUGUCCUAGUUCUGGGUGUGCUGCCACCUCCACUGCACCAUCUUAUUUUGGGACACACAGGAUAUUUAUCUGUAAAGAUACACAGCACCAGGGAGCAGAGACAUAAUGGGUCUCAUAAAAAUUCCAUCACUGCAGCAGCAGUUCCAAGGGGCCCAGCUAGUUGGUUGAAGAAAGGGUGCUCAGGGUCAAGGUUGAUGUCCAAGGGGAAACUCAGCUCACUCCUGCACAGGGCCCCACUGUUUGUAACCUUUGCCUUUCUCGUUAUACUGUAUAUUACCGUUUUUUACUUGAGUGUUUAAAACAUAUUCUUUUCUUUGUUUUGGGUGUACUUUGAUUUUAAAUUAUGGGAAUAUAAAUUCACCCAUUAAUAUCAUCGGUUUGCUUGAUUUUCUGUACUUUGAGAUCUUUAUUAGACCACUUUACCCCUGCUGGACACAAUACUGAACAGCCACAGUUUAAAGAAGGAGAGGUUUACUUUGGCUCAUAUUUUAAGGGGGUUAAGUCCAUGGUUAGCUGGCUCCAGGACAGAAACAUCAUGGCAGAAGGGCAUGGUGGAGCAAAGCUGUGGCCUGGAAGCAGAGCAGGGCAACAGUACCAGGGAGGAAGGGGCCAGGGAUGGACUAUAUAUAGUACUCAAGGUCACACUUCCAUGACCCAUUCAGACACACCCACAAGUGUGCUCCACCAAUCCCCAUCCUAUUGACAUCACAGGGUCCUUAAUCACAGGGCCGUAUGUGUCUGGGCAGUCACCUAGCCUCUUAAAAGAGCACUAUUGCACAUUUGUUGAAGCUUACAUUGGCCAACUUGUUCUUUUCUCAAUUAUGUCUUCCCCAGCUGUGACCUCUCCAAAUAGAAAGACAAUAUCCACAGUAUUCUGGGGAGUAUUGUGCAGGAAAAUACUAAUAAGAAAAGAGCACUGGAGGCUCAUACAUUCUGU